Mus musculus (house mouse) is the source of this 9712-nucleotide long non-coding RNA. RefSeq annotates it as NCK-associated protein 5-like, opposite strand. The transcript is spliced from 5 exons. NCBI's taxonomy places the organism in Eukaryota, Metazoa, Chordata, Mammalia, Rodentia, Muridae. The record is from RefSeq and is a predicted model, not a curated record.
AGGUCCUGUCCACCCAGGAAGGACAGGAAGCAAAGGUGAGGAGGCAGGAGAGGGACAGCGACUUCCCGCCCCCGCCAGCUGUGCUCACACCUACAGCCUCUGGGGAUGAGCUCUCAAGAAGCCAUGUCAAAAGGGAGGGGCAUCUAAGGCGUGGGAGAACCCUGACGUCUAAGUGGCCCGCAUCACAGCGAUCUGAAGAAAACACUUCAAGGCCAUAGAGGCUCAUGACGUUGGUAGUGUUUUGAAGGCGAUAGAGAAAUCAGCUGGGCUCCAGGUAAGAGAAGGCAUUCUAGUCCAAAUCAAAGUUCCCAUGGUUCAGAGACCUGGCCUUAACAACUCACUCUGCUUCCUGGUAGAGAAUAACGGGCCAAUCAGAGGUAGUGGCAUGGGCCAAGUGGGCCAAUAGGGAGCUCCUCCUAGGCUACUCCGUGGUGGUAGAGACUUAGUUGAGCAGGUCUCUGGAGUCCCAGGGCUGUACCUCCUGUGUAUACCCUGGGUCUAUCCUGCAGCAGUUAGGUGGGUGUGAGACAGUCCUGAAUCCACUCACCUUCUGGUUCAGUAGAGCCUGUACCACGUGGUUGGCAACCUGGGGACACAAAGUCCGGGAGCUGAGCUGGCGUUUUGCCCACCCACCCCUGUCCCCAGCCCUGUCCUUCGGCAAACCCCACAGACCUCAUCCAGACAGCGUUCGUAAGUCUCCCGCUGGUUCUCAUUGGCCUGCGCAAGCGCCGAGUUCUCUGCCUGUAGGGUGAGGUGGAAAGGGGAAUCAUUGAGGCUCAUUUGUACCCUGGGAGCGAGGGUGGCAGAGUGGACAGGCUUUGCCCUGUCCAUCAAACUCCUGGACCAGGGUUAUCUGACCGUUUUACCUAGUAGCCUCUAUGGAUAUCACUGUCCUUGGAACCAGUAGGGUCGUAAAGGUGGGGUGGGGGUGGGGAAGAGACACUCGUGGCAUAGGACAGCUACGUACUCUUCACUGUCGCCCGAGCUGGAGAGUGAAGAGGAACCGGGGCUUCCCAGGGGAGCUUUAAUAAAGAACCAACCGUCCAGCCCUCUCCUGCCUGGCAAGCCUUCUCCACACUGAGCUCAGCGGUGGGCAGCCCUGACUCCCCAUGCCCCGCCCUGCCCUGCCUGCCACCGCGUACCUCCAGCUCCCGAAGUCGGUGCAGAAGCUCCUGGCAGGUGCUGAGCUCCAUGCUGUCGUCCUCACCAGCCGAUGCCCUCAGCUUUCCGGUGCCUCCGGCCGGCUGGUCCAUGACCUUGGGAGUCAGGCUCUGGGAAUGAGGCCUGGCAGGCUACUCCCAGGCAGACCAGGAACAGGCAAGGAGAGAAGGCAGGAGGAGGGUGACAAAACUCUCUAGUGACCUCUGCUAUACUGGUGAUAAUGCAACAGCUCAAGGUUAGGCUGGGUGACUCUUGUUUAUUCUUCCCAUCCUGAGGCCGAGACUGUGCCUAUAGGAACCCCAGCGCUCACACACACCCUGCAUGGGGGCCUAGAGCCCGAAUUUUUUACUGGUCAACCAGCUGCCCUGUGACUCAACGUCCCUGUUUAGAAAGUAACACCAACUUCAACUAAUGUCACUCACUGUUGACACGUAAAACUUAAGUCUGCCAAGGGAUAUUUGUUUAUUUAUUUAUACAAGACAGGGUUCCACUGUGUAACAAGUCCUGGCUGUCCUGGACUCACUCUGUAGACCAGUCUGGCCUUGAAUUCACAGAGAUCCCUCUACCUCCGUCUCCUGAGGACUGAAAGUGUGCAGCAACCACGCCAGGCACCAAGGGUAUUUGAAAAGUAAAGAUGGGCUCAACCUACGGCUCAGCAGGACACACACUGAAGACCAGAGACUAUUCUACCCUGAACACACAGGAGCACAGCAGGGCUCUGACUGGCACUGCGCUGUGCCUUUCCUAUCAACGAGGCUCCUGCCGUUGCUGUUGGCUUGAAAUGACAAGUCUUCAUCUUUCAUCUGAGACCCUUUGUGUUACGCUGGCUCGUUCACUCUGGCAGCCAGAUGGGUCACCUCACCUGUAAAGGACAGAGGAACGGUGUUGCGGCAUUCCCUCAGUGCAUGGUAGGUCUGGAGUAAGCCCAGAGCCCUGCCGUUUUACUUUCAAAGCUUCUACCUAACGGACAAGGGAGACAACAUCAGGGAGAGAGCGCUAAGCGCUGACAGCAGGCAGAGGACCGCACGGGGUUGAGAGGAAACCCCCGAAAGGAAGAGCAACGAGCCAGUGGCAGCCUUUAAAUCCGUUCAACCUUCCCAGUUUUUGUCUGGUGACAUGGUUCCGCUUGCCCCACAGAGGUCUCCAGAUUCCAGCCAGACGUCAUUUGCCUCCCAGGGAACACCAGGAUGCAUAGUGACAGGGUCACCUGGAUCUCCUGACAAUGGGCUACAUUAAAUGAAGCCGCAGAAGUCUUUUCCCCAGAUGCUGAACAUGUGGGAUGUCGCUGAGCCUCGGCCAAGCACUCUCCUCCUCCUCCCUUGGGGCUUAGUCGCACCAGUUGCUGGGAAAACCCAGGCUUGGAUCCCAGGAUGGCCCCAGUUUCAAACAUUCCUGUGUGGUUCCACAGCGCAUCAGAAAGGUUGGAUCAGAGAACUCCUUGCCAGCCAGGCUGGGUAGUGGGGAAGAGACUGGCUCUGGAGACUCUUAAUGUGACUGGAAGCUUCUGCUAGAAAGGUGAGCAAGAGGCUCCUCCCUUCUUAAGGGGCCUGAUUCACAGGGAAGUGACUUUAGUGUGUGUGGAGGGGGAGGGAGGACAAGCAGAAAGCUCUCAGGCAACAGGGAGACAGGAAGAGAAAACUGCUGAGAAGUGUCUGGCCAGUCAGGCCUGUGGCUUGCACCUGUGAUCUUGAUGCUGAGGCAGGAGGACUGCUUAUGUGGUGAGAUAUGACACACCAGCUUGGAUUAGAGCAAGAGCCUGUCUUUAAAAAACAAGACAGAAUGGUAAGGAACAUAUUCCCCUAAAGUAGCCUUCAGAAACAAGCCUUCAGAGCACGCCUUUAAUCUUAGCACUUGGGAAUUCGAGGCCAGCCUGGUAAACAGAGAGUCCCAGGACAGCCAUGGCUACACAGAGAAACCCUGUUUUGAAAAACUUAAAAAAAGAAAGGAGAAGAAAAGAAAAGAAAAGAAAAGAGAAAGAAAGAGAGGAAGGAAGAAAAUAAAAGAAAAAAGAAAGAAAGAAAGAAAGAAAGAAAGAAAGGAAGGAAGGAAGAAAGGAAGAAAGAAAGAAAGAAAGAAAGAAAGAAAGAAAGAAAGAAAGAAAGAAAGAAAGAAGAAAACCCGAACAAACAGUAAAACUUUAAAAACUUUAGGACUGGAGAGAUGGCUUAGUAGUUAAAGAGCACUGGCUGCUCUUCCAGAGGACCAGAGUUCAAUUCCCAGCAACCACAUGGUGGCUCAUAACCAUCUGUAAUGGGAUCUGAUGUCCUCUUCAGAUGUGUCCGAAGACAGAGACAGUGUACUCACAUACAUAAAAUAAAUAAAUAAACCUUAAAAAAAACAAAAAAACAACAGAGUAAAAAUUUAAACUCCAAAGUCUGGUGGCUCAUGCCUGUAACCCAGGGAUAGGAAGGGGGAGGCAGGAGAACUGGGCCAGUCCGGACUACAGUAGACCCUACCACAAGCCAACAGAGAAAUGCCUUUAUCUCCCCAACCCAAAGCCAGGUCUUGUGCAUGCAAAGCACUGAGCCCUCAGCCCUGCACCCCCUUAAAUCUAGAAGGCUAGGACAGACAACAGUUUCUGCACCUCAAACACAGAUCUUGCCAUACUGACCUUGAGUCAGCCAAGGAGUGCCCCAGCCCCUCCUCUCCAGUGUGUGUGUGUGUGUGUGUGUGUGUGUGUGUGUGUGAAGCAUGGUUGCCUGGUCUCUCUCUCUCUCUCUGCUCACCUGGGCCAUCAGCCAAGGCCUUCUGGCCCUGAGGAGCCCCUCAUUCCCCAGCUGUUCCCUGAACAGUCCUCCUGGGAGAAAAGCCAGGGGCAGGGGGUGGGGGAGGAGUGAGCAGCUGCACGGAGGAAGGGAUGGGGGCUUUACUUAAAGAAUCAUCAGUGACACCAGCCAGUUCAGCUCCCUGGCCAGCUGCUCUCUGGAAUCCCAGCCUGUCACACCCAGGGGUCCACUUAUCAACAGCAACCUUUGCACCCACAGCAGACACAGAGCAAGCUAAGAGUAACCCCGGUUUGCAGAGAGUGUGGGCAGUCACAGGGUGGGACCUGAGAGAGCCCACUUAAUUUCUGGCUCAAAGUAGCUAAGGAUUCCAACUGGAUUCACUCCUUCCACGGGGAAAGAAGCCAAGAAAGUGCGGCCGUCCCCCAAGCUGGUCCAUAGACACAAUGGCCCUUCUGCAGUAAUGCCUACUGGAUCCUCCCUCCAGCUCCACUCAAGGGUACCCCAAGAACCCACCACAGACUGCAGGUUCUUCCAAACCAACUAAGAGCAGGACCAGGCUUCUCCUACAGUGUAGUAUUCAAGCAGUGUGGGGUGUUGUUAGCCCCUCGAAGACGUCUGAAUUACAACCUUCCUCAUCUCAGCGCUCAGAGAUCUCCUGUUCCCUGUCCAAGGGUAACAGCUGCUGGAGGUGGGGAGAAGGAAGGGGUUCCCACACAAUGGGUUUAUUUGUAGGACUACACACCAGGGGCUCAGCAGCCAAGCAGCCGAGGCCCCACUCCCAAAAGGCCAGCCAAGAGCUAAGCCAACCCAGCUAAGGAGAUGGAAAAAAUAUCAGACCAGAAGGCAGAGAGAGAGGUAAGGCCUAGCCCACUGCACAACUGAGAUGCUAUGUGACUUCAGGCAAGUCAGUCUCUCAGAAAGAGGUUCCUUCCCACUAUGUAGAGAUUGUUCUAGAAGAGUAACUCUCACGGAGUGGCCUGGGGACCCCAGUCAUGACACUGUCUACCCCCAUUCCUCGCCACCUUCUCCAGGGGCCCUUCCCACGACGCAGAAGCAGAUAAGAGGAUCUCUCUGCUCUCUACAAAGUCAGACACCAGAUUUGCAAGCAGUAAGAACACGGGCAUUCUCCACUCUUUUGUUUUAGGACAUAUAAUUAUUUUCAUAAGAUAUGGCAUCACGGUUAUUAUUUCUAACAUUUCUAUUUCACUGUAUUGUUUAUUUGUUUGUCUGCUUGUUUUGAGACUGGGCCUCAAUAUAUAGCCUUGGCUGGCUUGGAAUUUGUUAUGUAGACCAGGCUGGCCUUGAACUCAGAGAGCUACCUGAUUCUUGAGUACUGGAAUUAAGGGCACAACUAGGUGGUGUAAUUACUAUUACAACGAUGACAAUGACGAUGUGUGUGUGUAUGCAUGUACACGUGUUCUCAUUUUGGUGCAUGUAUGAAGGUCAGAACUGACUACCAAAAGUUGUUUUUCUCUCCUUUCUAGUCCUGGGUGUCAAACUCAGGCCAUUAGGCUUGGUGGCAAGUGUUUGCCCACUAAACCAUCUCAAUAUACCUGCUUUUACACCUGCCUGCCUAACAGUCUGUUUUUGCAUGCACAUGAAGGCGCAUGUGUGGAAGUCAGAGGACAAUUCUUGGGCGUCGUCUCUCUCCUUCACCCUAAGGUCUCUGGAGAUCAAACUCCAGAUGCUGUCAGGCUCAGUGUCAAAUGCCUUUACCAGGAUAAGCCAUCUCAUUGACCUUUAAGUGAACAGAAUAAACAUUUUAAACUCUCAGUUCUAACACAGCAUAGGAAGGGUAGCCAGAGGGCAUAGAGGCCUCUUUCCUGUGGCUUCCUGGCUACCACGUUUCUGUCUUGCCACAGGCCUAAAGCAAUGGUUUGAAGCCUAUGAAAAUACAGACUAAAUAAAUCUUUCCCUAGAAAGAAAGCAUAGAGAUCAUAUAUCAAAAGGCUGGAGAAUCAUGCUUGGUUGAGAAUCACGCUUGGUUAGCUUUUAGUUUUGUUUUUGCAGUCCCGGGAUCAGGCCAAGGGAUGAACCCUCUACCAACCACGCUACUGUACAGUCAGAGGAUCCCGUCCAGAACAGCCAUCCAGAGCCGAGAGGGAAAGUUCAGUUUAUCACUGUUAGCACUACCUACAGGUGGGAAAGAUGGCUAAUCCAACCGAGAAGUUACACUCUUUCUGCUUAUCAAUCCAUCUAUCCUCCAUCUAUCUAUCACCUAUCAUUUAUCCAUCUAUCUAUCUACUACCUAUCUACCUAUCUUUAUCAUCCAUCUAUGUAUCUAUCCAUCAUCUAUCUAUAACCUAUCUAUGGUUCUAUCUAUCUAUCUAUCUAUCACCUAUGUCUUUAUCAUCCAUCUACCUAUGUGUCUAUCAUCUAUCUAUAAUCUAUCUAUGGUUCUAUCUAUCUAUCUAUCUAUCUAUCUAUCUAUCUAUCUAUCAUCUAUCUAUGUGUCUAUCUAUCAUCUAUCUAUAAUCAAUCUAUCUUUAUAAUCCAUAUGUUUAUGUAUCUAUCUUUAUCAUCCAUUUAUGUAUCUAUGUAUCUAUCUACCAUCUAUAAUCAAUUAAUCUAUCUAUCUAUCUAUCUAUCUAUCUAUCUAUCUAUCUAUCUAUCAUCUUCAGUAGCUGAGGCUAGCCUGAACUCCAUAUUCUACUUUCCCACUUCCCUAGCUGUGAGAUUCCAGGGAAGCACAAGCCAAGCCCAGAUGGAACCCAGUUUUGAAGAGCCACCAUAGCUGGUGGCCGGAGACCCCCAGGUCCUCUGGCAUAUCCUUUCUGCAGGGAAUGGGAGAGGGAAAGACAAAGGACGGACACUCACUCCUGUCCCCAGCUUUUGUUUACCUACUUUUCUCACUUUUUCUGUGUCAACUCAGGGGUCACUUGUGCCAUGGGUCCCACCGGCUCUCCAUCAAGGCCUCUGGCCAGAGCUACUUCUCCAAUCUUGAAACCACGAUUCCCGCUCAGCUACCCAUCCCAUCUCCCCAGAGGGAGAUUCCAGCUGCUGGCUUUUCCCCUAUAAGAAUCUUCUCACCAGGCUUAGGUGCACACAUUUUUAAUCUCAGCACUCAGCACAGAGGCAGAGGCAGAGGCAGAGGCAGGUGGAUCUCUAUGAGCUCGAGGCCAGCCUGGUCUGCAUACUGAGUUCCAGGCCAGCCAGGACUACAUGGUGAGACACUGUCUCAAAAUGAGCCAUAAAAUCAAAUCUUCCAUCCCUGCUCAUCACCCGUUAGAGCAGCGAGCUGUCUCUUCCCUGCCCAGGCCAGUUCGUUAUGACUGACACAUCCCUGCCUGGUUUUGGUAUCUACCUUCUGAAGGCAUUUCUCCCAUUCACUUUUUUUAUGUGCUAGGAGUUACUCUCAGAGCCUCGAGCAUGCUAAGCAUCCGCUCAAAAACUUCUCAUGCAAUUUUAAGAUGUGGUAGUUCCUGUGAGGCUGAAACAUUCCAGUCUGCAGGGAAAUUCCUUAAACAGGAAGGUGAGCAACUCACAAUAGCUUCCGGAAGUCCCUAAAACUGACCGGAUUUACUAGGCCCCUUGUCGGCAGAGUGUGAAGUAAGAGUUGAGGGUCCCUCUCAGACCAAGAAAACUGCACUGUGAUGAAGACUCUCAGAGGAGAAAAGCUACAGAGAGGACUUCUGAGGCCAGCAGAGUUGCUUGGCAAGGUUUAAAACCCUCAGAGCACCUGGAAAGGACACUCUGCAGCCUGCUGAGCAGCGAGCUCCAGGUUCCCAGCUGUGUCAGCGGUCACUCGCACUCAUCCCUUUGGUGAUGAAGCCACCUCUCAGUCAUUUCUGCUCCUGUAAGUAACUUCAAUAAAACGGAACGGUUCACCAAGUUGGACUUUGGUGUUAUCCAUACCUGGGUCUAAUCUGGGUUCCCUAUCUAGAGUGAGUAUAUGUAUGUGUUGUGUCUCCCCAGAAAGUUUUUUCACACAUCACCAAGGGUCUCAAAAACGAAGAAAAACAAGGGGCUGGAAAGAUGGCUCAGCGGUUAAGAGCACUGACUCCUCCUCCGAAGGUCCUGAGUUCAAAUCCCAGCAACCACAUGGUGGCUCACAACCAUUUGUAUGAGAUCUGAUGCCCUCUUCUAGGGUGUCUGAAGACAGCUACAGUGUACUUACAUAUAAUAAAUAAAUAAAUCUUUUAAAAAAAGAAAAACAAAAGAAAACAAGCAUAAAGCAAACAAUACAAAAUAGAAAAACCCCAAAGGAGCCGCCCUCAGGCGUGAGAGCCCUGGCCCUUGCAAGUCAGGAGAGCUGGCCCUGGAGACUCAGGUGUAGGAGAGCUGUCGGGCUGACCAACUCACUUCCACCUAGGCCCAGACCCGGGGUUUUGAGUUGACCAACCCAACAUACACCCCAUCUAUGCACUGCUGGAGCCUUUGGGAAAAGGGUGACACUGUGACACACUGUGAUACACUGCAGCUUCCACUGAGAGAUAUUUUCUUUUCUUCUUUGUUUUGUUUUUGUUUUUAUUUUUGUUUUCUUUGGUUGGGGGGAGAUUGCAAGGGUGGAGUGGAGGGUGGAUAUGAAGGGAUGGAGAGACGAGUGGGAUUGGGGUAUAAGAGGUAAAAUUCACGAAGAAUUAAUUAAAACCAAAAAACCCUAAAGGACGAAACUUAUAUGGAUAGAGGGCUUAGUUCUCACCCCUUCCUUAUUCCUGUCCCAAGUGGCAGGUCACUGCCACAGCAGUAAAUCCAAGCCACACUUCCCAGUCUUCGCUGGCCUCUCUCGGCUCCAGGAAUUCCUUCUACCUGCACUUACUUCAGCAAGAUUCAGAGCAGAAUCCCCAUCCUGUACAACCCACCUGAUUAAAGUGCAUACGCUGGGUAUGGUGUCACACCAUCUGAGCAUGCUCAGGCGCAGGUGAGAGGCUCUCACGCUGAAGGCCAGCUUGGGAUACCUGAGACCUGGUCUUAAAGCACAUCUACAAGAUACAGAGGAACUCAGACAAUUCAUUGGAUCUCACUAUACUCAGCUAAAUGGCCAAUCGCAUCAAUCUUAGAUCGUUUACUCCUGCCUUUUCCUUAGCAGCUUCCACCCAGCUAGCCCAAGGGACCACUGUGUAGCUUCUGUCUUCGUAUGUUUCUUUAUUCUGGACGUUUUGUUUGAAUGGAAUCACACAGUAAGUGGCCUCCUGUGACUGGCUCCUUUCACCCCCUUACAGUCUGUUCAGAGUUCACCGUGUUGUAAGCUUUAUUACUGAUCAUUCUUCACGGCUAAGCCUGUGUGCACAGCCCACAUCUGUUUAUCCGCUCCCUGAAGGUAUACACUCAGGCUGUCUGCACCUUGGGGCUAUUACAAUCAUAUCAUCUAUGGGCACGUUUGUGGAAAGCUGCAUGUCUUCAAUUCUCUUAGGGAUCUAUGAGUAGGACUGAGGGAUCAUGUGACCUACUUCCAGUUGUUCAAGGAAGCACCAGACUGCCUUCCAAAGCUGAAACAGUUACCAUUUCACCAACAAAGUCUGAGGGCUGCGGUCUUUCUUUCUCUCUUUCUUCCUUCCGUCCUUCCUUCCUUUCUUUCUUUUUAAUUUUUCAAGACAAGGUUUCUCUGUAUAGCCCUGGCUGUCCUGGAACUCACUCUGUAGAUCAGGCUGGCCUCGAACUCAGAAAUCCACCUGCCUCUGCCUCCCGAGUGCUGGGAUUAAAGGCGUGCGACACCACGCCCAGCGUGUGUGUGUUCUUAAAAGACAGAGUAGCAAGUUACCACGUGUAUAUUUUUCUUUAAGCAGAACAAUUUUUAGAAGAUGAAAUGACAGAAUGUAUUCACUUCCUCACAUCCUACCAGCACCCACAUGGCAGCUCACAGCUCCCUGUAACUCCAGGUUCCA